This 284-nucleotide ribosomal RNA is filed under the name Vibrio sp. HR05-41. Its description in RNAcentral is "partial 16S ribosomal RNA". It matches the Rfam family "Bacterial small subunit ribosomal RNA", at positions 141 to 427 of the family's 1533-position model. Lineage: Bacteria; Pseudomonadati; Pseudomonadota; Gammaproteobacteria; Vibrionales; Vibrionaceae. The record is from RNAcentral.
GGAUAACCAUUGGAAACGAUGGCUAAUACCGCAUAACGUCUACGGACCAAAGAGGGGGACCUUCGGGCCUCUCGCUUCAGGAUAUGCCCAGGUGGGAUUAGCUAGUUGGUGAGGUAAUGGCUCACCAAGGCGACGAUCCCUANCUGGUCUGAGAGGAUGAUCAGCCACACUGGAACUGANACNCGGUCCAGACUCCUACGGGAGGCAGCAGUGGGGAAUAUUGCACAAUGGGCGCAAGCCUGAUGCAGCCAUGCCGCGUGUAUGAAGAAGGCCUUCGGGUUGUA